CUAUUGAGGGACAGAGCCGCCACUGAAAGCAAGCAAUCCAAUUUCUGCAAUUUCUGCUCUGCCACUGAGCCAAACUGCCUCGCCUGGGCCCCCACUUUCUCAGCAGCCCUGGUGCUCCGCCUGGACUGUGUCCUCUCUCUCAGAUGCUCUAGAAGAGAGUGAGUCCCUUUCGGAAUCUAGGUGACAAGGCCCUUCCAGCAGCUCGCGGGCCCGCCACAGGAGCUCCCUGACUAGCGGUUCCCAUUACUAAGGCCGUGGAUCUUUCACUUUUGCACCAACUAGGCCAGACAUUGUGACUUCCUCUCCAGCCCACGGGUGGACCGCUCUGCCCCCGCCCUGCCCGUCACCGUCACCACCGUCAGCCCUGCCACAUCCUUUAGCAUUUUUAAGACGGGCUGUAAUUAUCCAAAGGAAUUUUACCAAAACCUAAGGAGAUUCACAAGGGAAACAAAGAGCAUUUGAAGCACAUAGUGACGCUUAGAAAGUAGGGUUUUCUUCUCCUAGGAUAGCUUACCAGGCAUCAGUAAGCUGAACUGAAAUCCUGAUUCAGAGACUGCCCUUGUCCCGUCUCAAGUUUUCAUUCACCCUUCCCCCAUACACACACACACACACACACACACAGCCACACAGGGCAGGGGUUUCGGGAGCCACUCAGUCCUGCAGCCCAUCUGGAGGACACACACUUGAGACUUUGGAGUCCUGAGCCACCAUCUAGGAUGUCUGGUUAUCCUGAAGCCACCAUGCUGGAAUGUCCAUGUGAACAGACCAUGUAGAAACAGAGAGACAGAGAGAUGCCCAACAUGCCCCAGCUGUUCCAGCCCCCAGCUGGCUGAGUCGUCCCAGCCCAGCUGCCUGUCGUGUGAGUGCAGAAGACUUUGAGAUGAUGCCUCCUCCACCCACCAUCUGCCUGCAACGGCAUGAGAGGCCCCAAGCCAGGCCCUCUCAGCCGGGCUGGCUCCCCAGUUCCUGAGCCACAGAAACCCUGAGAGAUAAUAAAUGAUUAUUGUUGUUUGAAGGCACCAAGUUUUGGGGUGAUUUAUGCUGCUGCAAUAGAUGACUACUAUACCCCC
This 1070-nucleotide long non-coding RNA is filed under the name Equus caballus (horse). Its description in RNAcentral is "lncRNA (ENSECAG00000047817.1)". Lineage: Eukaryota; Metazoa; Chordata; Mammalia; Perissodactyla; Equidae. The record is from RNAcentral.